GAUGAACGCUGGCGGCGUGCCUAAUACAUGCAAGUCGAGCGAACAGACGAGGAGCUUGCUCCUCUGACGUUAGCGGCGGACGGGUGAGUAACACGUGGAUAACCUACCUAUAAGACUGGGAUAACUUCGGGAAACCGGAGCUAAUACCGGAUAAUAUAUUGAACCGCAUGGUUCAAUAGUGAAAGACGGUUUUGCUGUCACUUAUAGAUGGAUCCGCGCCGCAUUAGCUAGUUGGUAAGGUAACGGCUUACCAAGGCAACGAUGCGUAGCCGACCUGAGAGGGUGAACGGCCACACUGGAACUGAGACACGGUCCAGACUCCUACGGGGGGCAGCAGUAGGGAAUCUUCCGCAAUGGGCGAAAGCCUGACGGAGCAACGCCGCGUGAGUGAUGAAGGUCUUCGGAUCGUAAAACUCUGUUAUUAGGGAAGAACAAAUGUGUAAGUAACUAUGCACGUCUUGACGGUACCUAAUCAGAAAGCCACGGCUAACUACGUG
This 497-nucleotide ribosomal RNA is filed under the name uncultured bacterium. RNAcentral describes it as "partial 16S ribosomal RNA". It matches the Rfam family "Bacterial small subunit ribosomal RNA", at positions 28 to 507 of the family's 1533-position model. The record is from RNAcentral.